AUUUAAAUAGUUUAAUUAAAACAUUGAUUUGUGGUGUCAAAAAUUUAUUAAUAAUAAUUUAAAUU
Molecule: transfer RNA, 65 nt
Filed under: Triraphis sp. QL-2013
Lineage: Eukaryota; Metazoa; Arthropoda; Insecta; Hymenoptera; Braconidae
Description: tRNA-His
Source: RNAcentral